Wasmannia auropunctata (little fire ant) is the source of this 331-nucleotide long non-coding RNA. RefSeq lists it as uncharacterized. The transcript is spliced from 4 exons. The record is from RefSeq and is a predicted model, not a curated record. Lineage: Eukaryota; Metazoa; Arthropoda; Insecta; Hymenoptera; Formicidae.
GUCGCGGGUUACUUCAAUUUCGGCUUGUGCAAGAUGAUGAUGUUCUACUUCGCCUUCUUCGUCUGCGGAAUCGGAGUCUUCGGUUAGUUCGUCCGAUUCAUCGUUGUCCACGGGAAUAGGAGGGGAAGGAGUGACUUGGAGUUGGUAAUCUUCGACCAGUUCUCCUAUGGUUUCAAAUUGACUCGAAGCCGGUGAAGGCGGAUUUACGUUUUCCUCUGGCGGCGCCAUCUCAUGAGCCUUGAUGUGGGAUCUUUAACUCUGUAAAGCCACGUGAGUGGUUGAUGAUCGGUAACGAGAAUAAAUCUAUGUCCGUAUAGCUGAAUUCAAUACG